Non-coding RNA from Myotis davidii, 75 nucleotides. NCBI's taxonomy places the organism in Eukaryota, Metazoa, Chordata, Mammalia, Chiroptera, Vespertilionidae. The record is from Rfam.
GGUGGUUCUUGAGUGACGCACCCCAGAAUCAGGCUUCCUCCUCUCUGGUUCCAGGUUUGUCACCCGAGAACCAUC